Long non-coding RNA from Phodopus roborovskii (desert hamster), 614 nucleotides. RefSeq lists it as uncharacterized. Lineage: Eukaryota; Metazoa; Chordata; Mammalia; Rodentia; Cricetidae. The transcript has 4 exons. The record is from RefSeq and is a predicted model, not a curated record.
GUUGUACUCGUUCGUGUGUGCUGCAUCGCUCACCGUUUCUGCAUCCACGGCCAUCGGGUAUCAGGAGUCAUGUCGGGCUAUUCUGAAGCCAGGUGUAAAUUGAGGCCAGGUGGAUGAACUCAUAACGUGGAAGGUCUGACCGAGCCCCUCUGGAAGGUGACCUGUCUAGGAAACCCAUGGUGCCGGAGCUAGAAGAGACCUGAAGUAACACUUCAGUGGUUAUCAGGCUGCCUCAUGGAACUUCUGAACAGGUGAGGAAAGAGUCUAAAGGAGUGAGACUCCAGCCGUGCUGAAAGACCAGAUUUGAAGCUGCUCUCUAAAAGGAAUCUGCAGUCUCUGGCUCUUGGCCCAAGUUACUGUGGUUCAGGACCAGUCCUGUGUGUUUGGCAGACACGGUCAUCCCAGUCUCCAGUGUUUGAAUAAAGACUCUGUGCCUAAGGUAAUUCUGGCAUCUGAAUAUAAUAAACCACAGAAAAUGGAGGUGUCUAGAGGAAAGCAGACCUGCUGUCCAAGCUCUCAGGAGGUGAAGACAAGAAGAUCAUGGAUUCAAGGCCAGCCUGGGCUACAAAGAGACCCAGUCUCCAAAAAAGAUAAAUAAAUGCAGUUUUACCUGA